GACGAACGCUGGCGGCGCGCCUAACACAUGCAAGUCGAACGAGCGAGAGAGAGCUUGCUUUCUCGAGCGAGUGGCGAACGGGUGAGUAACGCGUGAGGAACCUGCCUCAAAGAGGGGGACAACAGUUGGAAACGACUGCUAAUACCGCAUAAGCCCACGGCUCGGCAUCGAGCAGAGGGAAAAGGAGCAAUCCGCUUUGAGAUGGCCUCGCGUCCGAUUAGCUAGUUGGUGAGGUAACGGCCCACCAAGGCGACGAUCGGUAGCCGGACUGAGAGGUUGAACGGCCACAUUGGGACUGAGACACGGCCCAGACUCCUACGGGAGGCAGCAGUGGGGAAUAUUGCACAAUGGGGGAAACCCUGAUGCAGCGACGCCGCGUGGAGGAAGAAGGUCUUCGGAUUGUAAACUCCUGUUG
RNAcentral lists this ribosomal RNA (415 nucleotides) under uncultured bacterium. RNAcentral's name for it is "bacterial SSU rRNA". It matches the Rfam family "Bacterial small subunit ribosomal RNA", at positions 28 to 438 of the family's 1533-position model. The record is from RNAcentral.